RNAcentral lists this RNase MRP RNA (471 nucleotides) under Stachybotrys chlorohalonatus IBT 40285. RNAcentral's name for it is "Stachybotrys chlorohalonata IBT 40285 RNase MRP". It matches the Rfam family "RNase MRP". Rfam says of the family: RNase MRP is an enzymatically active ribonucleoprotein with two distinct roles in eukaryotes. In mitochondria it plays a direct role in the initiation of mitochondrial DNA replication. Lineage: Eukaryota; Fungi; Ascomycota; Sordariomycetes; Hypocreales; Stachybotryaceae. The record is from Rfam by way of RNAcentral.
CCUUCGCUCAACAAAUCGCUAUUCGAAGCUUUCACACAGAGACACUGCCUCGCAGCGUCUCCCACACACUCACGCUUUGGGAGAAAGUCCCCGGACGCGUCUCCCUCGUGGGGACACUGCGGAAACGCGCCGCCAUAAAAGCACCGCGGCUGACCUCUGUGCCCUUUGGCCUUUGUUCUUCGCGCCCAUCCCUGCUCGCCGCUACAUUCGGGCCCGCCAGCACCGUCGCUUGCCCUCCGUCCUCUGCCUGUGGCCGCCUAUGGAUGAAGAUAUGAGUCCGCGCCGGCAGGCUACCCGGGGACGUGUGGGCGAGGGGCGAGGCUCGGGGGGUGUUGGAUGGCGGGUGAGGCAUUGCGGCGCGUGCGAGAUUGGCGUCGGGCUGCAGAGGGCAUUUUCGUCGAGGUCGAUAGGUAUGCGAUUGCCCGGUGUAACAAGCCGGGUUACUCGAUGGGGCUUAUUCUUGAGGCGAAG